RNAcentral lists this ribosomal RNA (473 nucleotides) under uncultured bacterium. Its description in RNAcentral is "SSU rRNA". It matches the Rfam family "Bacterial small subunit ribosomal RNA", at positions 26 to 518 of the family's 1533-position model. The record is from RNAcentral.
AGGACGAACGCUGGCGGCGUGCUUAACACAUGCAAGUCGAGCGGAAAGGCCCUUCGGGGUACUCGAGCGGCGAACGGGUGAGUAACACGUGAGUAACCUGCCCCUAGCUCUGGGAUAGCUCCGGGAAACCGGGAUUAAUACCAGAUACGACCACUUUAGACAUCUGUCGUGGUGGAAAGGAUUCCGGCUAGGGAUGGGCUCGCGGCCUAUCAGCUUGUUGGUGGGGUAACGGCCUACCAAGGCGACGACGGGUAGCCGGCCUGAGAGGGCGACCGGCCACGCUGGGACUGAGACACGGCCCAGACUCCUACGGGAGGCAGCAGUGGGAAUAUUGCGCAAUGGGCGAAAGCCUGACGCAGCGACGCCGCGUGGGGGAUGAAGGCCUUCGGGUUGUAAACCCCUUUCAGCAGGGACGAAGCGAAAGUGACGGUACCUGCAGAAGAAGCGCCGGCUAACUACGCGCCAGCAGCCGC